Long non-coding RNA from Papaver somniferum (opium poppy), 1502 nucleotides. RefSeq lists it as uncharacterized. The record is from RefSeq and is a predicted model, not a curated record. Lineage: Eukaryota; Viridiplantae; Streptophyta; Magnoliopsida; Ranunculales; Papaveraceae. The transcript has 2 exons.
UCUUGAAAUGGCGACCGAGAAGGCCCGACCGGAGCUCAACAAGAUUGAACUAAAAUCCCAAGCACUCCACGGCACACACUCUCUCUUCUGUCGACUCUCUCUCUCUCAUUAAAAUUUUCUCACCUCUUGACCACCCUUUGGGGUGGUAAAACCACUAAUUGGUCACCUGUACUAGCAUUAUUACCACCUAGAAAAGCCAUUUUUAGACCGUUAUUUGCCCGUUAGAAAAAAUUUAAGCCGGAAAAGCUAUAUGAGAUUCACGGAAUCCUACCGGAUAUUAUAAUAAACAUCCAUCUGCUCCAGAUUCCUAUACACAUACUCUAAUUCAACCUUUCUGUUCAAAGACUUCAUGUUUCUUUGCUCCUAAGACACCCUAGAUUCAAUUGUUCUAAGACUCCCUGGUUUACUGUUACCCCAAGACACCUUUGAUUCAGUUGAUCUAAGACACCAUAAAAUCUUUUAUUUUCCUCCUUGUAUCCCUAAAACCCCCUUGUUUUGGAUUGAUUCAAGAUCCCAACUUUUCUCCCUCUUAAUCUUUUUUACCCAUUCUGAUUCAUCCUCUUCCUUAAUCGAAUUUGAAUCGGUUUCAGAUUUGGGUUUAUCCAACGUUUUCUAGAUCUCUAAUUUCUGUCCUAUGGCUUCAAACAACAAUAUUUAUUUCCCUCAAGUCAGAUGGAUAACUAAGAACCAACCUCCCUAGCAGAUCGGUUAAGGAUAGCAUCUCUCAUAUGUCUCAUCUCUUCACAAAAUUGAAGAAAAGACUCAAGAAGAAGAAGAAGAAACUAGUUAAUUUAUGUACUAACAAAAAUUGGGCAAUAAUUUCAAGUGGAAAUCUGGAUACCCCCCUCAUCAAUUCUUCUUCAGCAACCUUCACUAAUACUGCAUCUAGCUUGACUCUUCAAAUCUGACCAGAGCUCAACAAUUUUUUACGGAGGUAAAUCCAAGCCAUUUGCUGAUAUUCAUCUCCAAUGCUAAAGAAAAAUACAGAUUCUCUAAAGGUAACACCAAUAAUUCUAAUGCCUUAUUUCUCACACAUUUCAACAUACAAUUAUCAAGAUUAAUUGAGGUUAUUGUAGAGAAGCCAGAGGGGAGUCUUCAGGAUGGAGAACAAGGGAACAACUUGAACUCAAUGCUGCUGAAAAUGCUUUCCAAUGGGCUACAGAAUUAACGGGUCACAACAUCGAAUUUCAAAGUGAUUCUGAACCAACUCUCCUAAAGAUUAUGGAAAUGUACGCUCAAGCUAAAGAAGAAAGAUUCAAGAAUAGUGAUUCUUUUGGAAACUCUACCAAAACUCCAGCAAACUUUAAAGCUAUGGCCUUCAACUUAGUUAGUAGAUUUGACAACAUUAUGCCUGCUGCAAUUUCUAGAUUAUGUAACAAUCCAUCUUUAAUGAUAAAUGGAUUGAUGAAAAACCCACAGAACUGAUCAACCUCAUUUAUAUGCGAGAAGAUCUAAUCUGGCCUUUGUAUUACCGCAGCACUUAAAGUCUUUCGAGUUUUCAA